ACGUCACACAUAGUUACCGAUAUUUUGUUCAAUAUAGUAGGCCUACGCAUAAAGUAAUUUUCUACUAUUUUCUACGGUCGGCUAUUGGCGAUGCUUCCGCGAGGAAUAUGUCAUCUUCUGCUGACAUAUCUUUUUUUAUUAAUAUAUAUGAACUUCAAAAUUUCCAACGUUUCUCAAAACAACUUUUUUUUGCAUAUAAUAAUAUAAAUGUAUACGUGUAGAACAGGUAUGGUAUAGAAUGUAGGCCUAUAGACUGGUGUUUGUAUCAAGUUGUUUUCUUUUUUAUACUCUGCAAAGAUGAUUUCGAAAUGUUAAGGCUUUCGAAAAAACUAUCGAAUUUUUCCAUGAUAUUUACAGAGAAACGUCACAGUUGCAACCCCCCCCCCCCC
This is a non-coding RNA of Paramuricea clavata, 389 nucleotides long. Lineage: Eukaryota; Metazoa; Cnidaria; Anthozoa; Malacalcyonacea; Plexauridae. The record is from the annotation of a GenBank genome assembly.